CCUACGGGAGGCAGCAGUAGGGAAUUUUCGGCAAUGGGGGGAACCCUGACCGAGCAACGCCGCGUGAGGGAGGAAGUAUUUCGGUAUGUAAACCUCUGUUAUAAAGGAAGAACGGUGCAUGUAGGGAAUGACAUGCAAGUGACGGUACUUUAUGAGGAAGCCACGGCUAACUACGUGCCAGCAGCCGCGGUAAUACGUAGGUGGCGAGCGUUAUCCGGAAUUAUUGGGCGUAAAGAGUUGCGUAGGUGGCAUAAUAAGUAGCUAGUGAAAUCUGGUGGCUCAACCAUUCAGACUAUUAGCUAAACUGUUAAGCUCGAGACCGUUAGGGGUAACUGGAAUUUCUAGUGUAGGAGUGAAAUCCGUAGAUAUUAGAAGGAACACCAAUAGCGUAGGCAGGUUACUGGGACGGUUCUGACACUAAGGCACGAAAGCGUAGGGAGCAAACGGGAUUAGAUACCCCAGUAGUC
This 467-nucleotide ribosomal RNA is filed under the name uncultured bacterium. RNAcentral describes it as "partial 16S ribosomal RNA". It matches the Rfam family "Bacterial small subunit ribosomal RNA", at positions 338 to 795 of the family's 1533-position model. The record is from RNAcentral.